UGUAGGAGCGAGCUUGCUCGCGAUGACGGUGUAUCAGUCGACAUCGAUGUUGAAUGUCAGUCCGCUAUCGCGAGCAAGCUCGCUCCCACA
Molecule: unclassified non-coding RNA, 90 nt
Filed under: Pseudomonas jessenii
Lineage: Bacteria; Pseudomonadati; Pseudomonadota; Gammaproteobacteria; Pseudomonadales; Pseudomonadaceae
Source: RNAcentral